GAUGAACGCUGGCGGCGUGCUUAACACAUGCAAGUCGAACGGAAAGGCCCAAGCUUGCUUGGGUACUCGAGUGGCGAACGGGUGAGUAACACGUGGGUGAUCUGCCCUGCACUUCGGGAUAAGCCUGGGAAACUGGGUCUAAUACCGGAUAGGACCACAUUUUGGAUGGUGUGGUGGAAAGUUUUUCGGUGUGGGAUGAGCUCGCGGCCUAUCAGCUUGUUGGUGGGGUAAUGGCCUACCAAGGCGUCGACGGGUAGCCGGCCUGAGAGGGUGUACGGCCACAUUGGGACUGAGAUACGGCCCAGACUCCUACGGGAGGCAGCAGUGGGGAAUAGUGCACAAUGGGCGCAAGCCUGAUGCAGCGACGCCGCGUGGGGGAUGACGGCCUUCGGGUUGUAAACUCCUUUCGCUAGGGACGAAGCGUUAUGUGACGGUACCUGGAGAAGAAGCACCGGCUAACUACGUG
This 466-nucleotide ribosomal RNA is filed under the name uncultured bacterium. RNAcentral describes it as "partial 16S ribosomal RNA". It matches the Rfam family "Bacterial small subunit ribosomal RNA", at positions 28 to 507 of the family's 1533-position model. The record is from RNAcentral.